RNAcentral lists this long non-coding RNA (500 nucleotides) under Heterocephalus glaber (naked mole-rat). RNAcentral's name for it is "lncRNA (ENSHGLG00100037226.1)". The record is from RNAcentral. Lineage: Eukaryota; Metazoa; Chordata; Mammalia; Rodentia; Bathyergidae.
CCAUGAAUGGCAUUGCCACUGAGAUGAGAUUUCCCCAGUGCGUUUCACUCUCCUGAUAUCUCUGGAAGACCCAAGCCCAGAACAUCACUGCUCAUCACCCAGGACUCUGCCAUGAGUGACCUGACUUCAGUGUCUUCACCCAUGAGGGAUGGGACAGGCAGCUGGUGGGGGCAGGUAUCAUUCUAGACACUGGAAGCAUAAGAGAAGUAAGACAGGCAAGAUCUUCAGGUUCUAAAACGGUUGGCUGAACAGGCACAAACCAAGAAAAUAUCUGAACUAAGGUGAACACUAGUGAAACCGAAGGAGAAAAACAAACUGCCUCAGUCUUCACCAAAGAAUACUUCAAGCCUGCCCACAUCUGGUCAUUGACCAAGCUCUUAUUGAAUGCAGUUUUAUUGACAGUGAUGAGAUUACAAAAUAACACUACCAUACAUGUUCUGUUGUUCUUUAUAUAGUACCAGAAUGUUCUAAGCAUACAGAAAUUUUCUGCCAAAACUUGC